UACGGGGGGAGCAAGCGUUGUUCGGAUUUACUGGGCGUAAAGGGCGGGUAGGCGGCCACCGCAAGUCGACUGUGAAAUCUCCGGGCUUAACCCGGAAAGGUCAGCCGAUACUGCGGGGCUAGAGUGCAGAAGGGGCAACUGGAAUUCUCGGUGUAGCGGUGAAAUGCGUAGAUAUCGAGAGGAACACCUGCGGCGAAGGCGGGUUGCUGGGCUGACACUGACGCUGAUGUGCGAAAGCGUGGGGAGCGAACAGG
This 254-nucleotide ribosomal RNA is filed under the name uncultured bacterium. RNAcentral's name for it is "partial 16S ribosomal RNA". It matches the Rfam family "Bacterial small subunit ribosomal RNA", at positions 524 to 776 of the family's 1533-position model. The record is from RNAcentral.